UAAAGCUCUUUUGUGCGGGAAGAAAUGACGGUACCGCAAGAAUAAGCCCCGGCUAACUUCGUGCCAGCAGCCGCGGUAAUACGAAGGGGGCAAGCGUUGCUCGGAAUCACUGGGCGUAAAGGGUGCGUAGGCGGGUUUUUAAGUCAGAGGUGAAAUCCUGGAGCUCAACUCCAGAACUGCCUUUGAUACUGGGAAUCUUGAGUAUGGAAGAGGUGAGUGGAACGGCGAGUGUAGAGGUGAAAUUCGUAGAUAUUCGCAAGAACACCAGUGGCGAAGGCGGCGCACAGGUCCAUAACUGACGCUGAGGUACGAAAGCGUGGGGAGCAAACAGGACUAGAUACCCUGGUAGUCCACGCCGUAAACGAUGAAUGCCAGCCGUUAGUGGGUUUACUCUCUAGUGGCGCAGCUAACGCUUUAAGCAUUUCGCCUGGGGAGUACGGUCGUAAGAUUAAAACUCUAAGGAAUUGACGGGGGCCCGCACAAGCGGUGGAGCAUGUGGUUUAAUUCGACGCUUCGCGCAGAACCUUACCAGCUCUUGACAUGUCUAGGACCGGCACCAGAGAUGGAGCCUUCUCUUC
This 578-nucleotide ribosomal RNA is filed under the name Bradyrhizobiaceae bacterium Ri3Pt_4457. Its description in RNAcentral is "bacterial SSU rRNA". It matches the Rfam family "Bacterial small subunit ribosomal RNA", at positions 426 to 1021 of the family's 1533-position model. Lineage: Bacteria; Pseudomonadati; Pseudomonadota; Alphaproteobacteria; Hyphomicrobiales; Nitrobacteraceae. The record is from RNAcentral.